This 113-nucleotide small RNA is filed under the name Epilithonimonas zeae. RNAcentral describes it as "Chryseobacterium zeae Flavo-1 RNA". It matches the Rfam family "Flavo-1 RNA". Lineage: Bacteria; Pseudomonadati; Bacteroidota; Flavobacteriia; Flavobacteriales; Weeksellaceae. The record is from RNAcentral.
ACCUAGCCCCGAUGGAAACGGCAUCCUUUUUUAUUUUUUAUGGACUUCGAUUCAAUCGAAGUGACAAAACUUGUAAAAAAAUAAAAAAGAUAUAGUGGACAGCGGGAUUAAGC